Molecule: ribosomal RNA, 434 nt
Filed under: uncultured Blautia sp.
Lineage: Bacteria; Bacillati; Bacillota; Clostridia; Lachnospirales; Lachnospiraceae
Description: partial 16S ribosomal RNA
Rfam family: Bacterial small subunit ribosomal RNA
Source: RNAcentral
ACGGGAGGCAGCAGUGGGGAAUAUUGCACAAUGGGGGAAACCCUGAUGCAGCGACGCCGCGUGAAGGAUGAAGUAUCUCGGUAUGUAAACUUCUAUCAGCAGGGAAGAUAAUGACGGUACCUGACUAAGAAGCCCCGGCUAACUACGUGCCAGCAGCCGCGGUAAUACGUAGGGGGCAAGCGUUAUCCGGAUUUACUGGGUGUAAAGGGAGCGUAGACGGAAUGGCAAGUCUGGUGUGAAAGGCAUGGGCUCAACCCGUGGACUGCACUGGAAACUGUCGUUCUUGAGUGCCGGAGGGGUAAGCGGAAUUCCUAGUGUAGCGGUGAAAUGCGUAGAUAUUAGGAAGAACACCAGUGGCGAAGGCGAUCUACUGGACAGUAACUGACGCUGAGGCGCGAAAGCGUGGGGAGCAAACAGGAUUAGAUACCCUGGUA